AUUGAACGCUGGCGGCAUGGCUAAUGCAUGCAAGUCGAACGAAAGCCCUUCGGGGCGAAAGUGGCGAAAGGGCGAGUAAUACGAUCGAACGUACCCCAAGGUGGAGGAUAGUGUCGGGAAACUGACGGUAAUACUCCAUGUGCUCUUCGGAGGAAAGCUUUGGCGCCUCGGGAGCGGCGAUCGUCCUAUCAGGUAGUUGGUGAGGUAAUGGCUCACCAAGCCGAAGACGGGUAGCGGGUGUGAGAGCAUGACCCGCCGCAUCGGGACUGAGACACUGCCCGGACUCCUACGGGAGGCUGCAGCGACGAAUCUUCCGCAAUGGGCGCAAGCCUGACGGAGCAAUGCCGCGUGUGGGACGAAGCGUCUUCGACGUGUAAACCACUGUCAGAAUCUAGGAACACUGACCAGAUUCAAAGGAAGGCCGGCUAACCUCGUG
This 436-nucleotide ribosomal RNA is filed under the name uncultured bacterium. RNAcentral describes it as "bacterial SSU rRNA". It matches the Rfam family "Bacterial small subunit ribosomal RNA", at positions 30 to 507 of the family's 1533-position model. The record is from RNAcentral.